Molecule: ribosomal RNA, 633 nt
Filed under: Nebria sahlbergii
Lineage: Eukaryota; Metazoa; Arthropoda; Insecta; Coleoptera; Carabidae
Also listed under: 1 other name
Description: partial large subunit ribosomal RNA
Rfam family: Bacterial large subunit ribosomal RNA (bases 389-548)
Source: RNAcentral
GUCCUUUAGAUAUUAAUUUAAGGUCUAACCUGCCCACUGAAAUAUUUUAAAUGGCCGCAGUAAUUUGACUGUGCAAAGGUAGCAUAAUCAUUAGUUUUUUAAUUAAAAGCUUGUAUGAAAGGUUGGACGAAGUAAAAUCUGUCUCUAAUUAAAUUAAUUUAGAAUUUAACUUUUAAGUUAAAAGGCUUAAAUUUAACUAAAAGACGAGAAGACCCUAUAGAUCUUUAUAUUUUUAUUAUUAAAUUUAAUUAAGAAUUUUUAAAAUUUUAUUAAUUUAAAUAUUUUAUUGGGGUAAUAUAAAGAUUUAAAUAAUUCUUUUUUUUUAUUAACAUUAAUUUAUGAUUUUUAUGAUCCAAUUAUAUUGAUUUUAAGAUUAAGUUACCUUAGGGAUAACAGCGUAAUUUUUUUAGAGAGUUCUUAUCGAUAAAAAAGUUUGCGACCUCGAUGUUGGAUUAAAGAUUAUUUUAGGUGCAGAAGCUUAAAAAUUUUGGUCUGUUCGACCAUUAAAUCUUUACAUGAUCUGAGUUCAGACCGGUGUAAGCCAGGUCGGUUUCUAUCUUUAGUAAAUUAAAAUAUUUCAGUACGAAAGGACCAAUUAUUUAAUAUAAAUAUUUAUAUUUUGAUUAUUAUUAA